GACCAGAACACUAAGGAGCAGUAGGCAUUGUCCCUAGAACUGCGCAGUCUUCAGCUGAGACUAAGAUCAGUAGGUGGUGGUAAUGCACCUGUUCGUUGGUCUGCCAAACCAGUAGGCAUUCGGCAUUGGAAGACAGCAAUGGACAAGUUUUUGAUUGCACUCGGCUGUGCACCAAAAGGUUUCACCACUGUCAAAGGCUAUAACGAGAAAUUAACGGAAGAAGCAAAACUCGGAGACCUGUUCCUGGUGAAAGAAGCUAACAGUAGCGAUGGAUCCAGUCUAGGAUACUACCAGGCUGGCGUUUACUGCAGUGAAGACCGGGAUAUCAUUCUCUUUACAUGUAAAUCUCUAAAUAUCCAUGUAAUGAACUCUUCA
Long non-coding RNA from Silurus meridionalis, 375 nucleotides. RefSeq lists it as uncharacterized. Lineage: Eukaryota; Metazoa; Chordata; Actinopteri; Siluriformes; Siluridae. The record is from RefSeq and is a predicted model, not a curated record. The transcript has 3 exons.